Molecule: non-coding RNA, 21 nt
Filed under: Caenorhabditis elegans
Lineage: Eukaryota; Metazoa; Nematoda; Chromadorea; Rhabditida; Rhabditidae
Source: RNAcentral
UGGAAGGAAAAUAUUGUUUCA